RNAcentral lists this ribosomal RNA (253 nucleotides) under uncultured bacterium. RNAcentral describes it as "partial 16S ribosomal RNA". It matches the Rfam family "Bacterial small subunit ribosomal RNA", at positions 524 to 776 of the family's 1533-position model. The record is from RNAcentral.
UACGUAGGGUGCGAGCGUUGUCCGGAAUUACUGGGCGUAAAGCGCACGUAGUCGGCUUGUCAAGUCGGGUGUGAAAUCCCCGGGCUCAACCUGGGAAUGGCAUUGGAAACUGGCGGGCUUGAGUGUGGCAGAGGGGGGUGGAAUUCCGCGUGUAGCAGUGAAAUGCGUAGAGAUGCGGAGGAACACCGAUGGCGAAGGCAGCCCCCUGGGCUGACACUGACGCUCAGGCACGAAAGCGUGGGGAGCAAACAGG